Molecule: ribosomal RNA, 1033 nt
Filed under: uncultured marine bacterium
Lineage: Bacteria
Description: bacterial SSU rRNA
Rfam family: Bacterial small subunit ribosomal RNA
Source: RNAcentral
GGGGAAUCUUCCGCAAUGGGCGCAAGCCUGACCCAGCCAUGCCGCGUGUGCGAAGAAGGCUCUAGGGUUGUAAAGCACUUUCAGUGGUGAAGAAAAGCCAGGGGUUAAUACCCCCGGGUCUUGACGUUAGCCACAGAAGAAGCACCGGCUAACUCCGUGCCAGCAGCCGCGGUAAUACGGAGGGUGCGAACGUUAAUCAGAAUUACUGGGCGUAAAGGGUGUGUAGGCGGCACGGCAAGUCUCAUGUGGAAUCUCCCGGCUCAACUGGGAGGGGUCAUGGGAAACUGCCGAGCUUGAGGGCAGCAGAGGAAAGCGGAAUUCCGGGAGUAGUGGUGAAAUGCGUAGAUACCCGGAGGAACACCAGAGGCGAAGGCGGCUUUCUGGGCUGUGCCUGACGCUGAGACACGAAAGCGUGGGGAGCAAACCGGAUUAGAUACCCGGGUAGUCCACGCCCUAAACGAUGGAUACUAGAUAUGGGGGGUAUCGACCCCUCCCGUGUCGGAGUUAACGCGAUAAGUAUCCCGCCUGGGGAGUACGGCCGCAAGGCUAAAACUCAAAGGAAUUGACGGGUCCCCGCACAAGCGGCGGAGCGUGUGGUUUAAUUCGAUGAUAAGCGAAGAACCUUACCUGGGCUUGACAUGCGUCUGACGGUUCGCGAAAGCGGGCUUUCCUUCGGGACAGGCGCACAGAUGUUGCAUGGCUGUCGUCAGCUCGUGCCGUGAGGUGUUGGGUUAAGUCCCGCAACGAGCGCAACCCUCGUCGUUAGUUACUAUGUCUAGCGAGACUGCUCCUAAAAGGGGAGAGGAAGGUGGGGACGACGUCAAGUCGGCACGGCUCUUACGCUCAGGGCUACACACACGCUACAAUGGUCGGAACAGAGGGUCGCGAGGGCGCGAGCCGGAGCUAAUCCCAAAAAUCCGGCCUCAGUUGGAAUUGCAGGCUGCAACUCGCCUGCAUGAACGCGGAGUCGCUAGUAAUCGCAGGUCAGCACACUGCGGUGAAUACGUUCCCGGGGAUUGUACACACCGCCCGU